Molecule: ribosomal RNA, 253 nt
Filed under: uncultured bacterium
Lineage: Bacteria
Description: partial 16S ribosomal RNA
Rfam family: Bacterial small subunit ribosomal RNA
Source: RNAcentral
UACGUAGGGAGCAAGCGUUGUCCGGAAUCAUUGGGCGUAAAGCGCGCGUAGGUGGCUUCGUAAGUCCGUUGUGAAAGUCAAAGGCUCGACCUUUGAAAGCCGAUGGAUACUGUGGAGCUAGAGUACGGAAGAGGCGAGUGGAAUUCCUGGUGUAGCGGUGGAAUGCGCAGAUAUCAGGAGGAACACCAAUAGCGAAGGCAGCUCGCUGGGACGUUACUGACACUGAGGCGCGAAAGCGUGGGGAGCGAACAGG